This 213-nucleotide ribosomal RNA is filed under the name Triticum aestivum (bread wheat). RNAcentral describes it as "partial small subunit ribosomal RNA". Lineage: Eukaryota; Viridiplantae; Streptophyta; Magnoliopsida; Poales; Poaceae. The record is from RNAcentral.
AUGUUCUACGAUAUCUUCGUGGCACAAUCUCUCACUGUCUCUUCUUUCCUCAUUCUAGCUCGUUACAGCUCCAGGCCUAUUCGUAUGCUACCUGGGCUAGUGAUCCUUCGGAUCGCCGUUCACUUUCUGCUUACGGUGUCUUUCUUGGUGGUUCUCUCAUUGCCUGGAAAACGAAGAAACAGACUGCAGUUCCCGUUCGAGUGCAGAGGCUGA